GGUCAUUGGAAACUGUCCGAGAAGUGUCUGUGACUCUGUAUCAGAGUGAUGCCCGUGUCCGUAUUUUAGAGAGUUCAAGGUGUCAGUAUUAGAUAUAUGUCCGUUUUAGAGAAUACAUUUUUUUUAUCGAUCUUUUUAUCAUCUUUGACAUCUUUAAUAGAUGCAAUCAUCAUGCAAGUGUUAGGACAGCACGGUCCAGUUCUUCAAUUGCGAUCAGCAGGG
Paramuricea clavata is the source of this 222-nucleotide non-coding RNA. The record is from the annotation of a GenBank genome assembly. NCBI's taxonomy places the organism in Eukaryota, Metazoa, Cnidaria, Anthozoa, Malacalcyonacea, Plexauridae.